GUUGGGCACUGACACUUCCCUACACUGGCACAUUGCUACGGGCAAGAUGGGAGCAGGCGCUGGAUCCGCGGCGCAAGGGGAAAGCGGCGGACGGAGUGGGGUUUCCUGGCCUGUCACCGCCUCCUAAGCCGCUGGGAGGAGAGGUGCGUUGGCCUCCUGAGCCACAGCUGCCUCCUUGCCCAGGGAAUCCCGGGAGAUGAGAAUAUCGAAGAACUCCGAAAACCAAAUCGCAUUUCUAAACGCCAGCUGCGGUUCACAUAGGGCCCACCCGGAGUGUUGUCAGGGCUCCCACCCAUGUCCUGGACACACAGCCCAAUCUUGAUCAUUGCAGAAAUGGAGUCAGAGGGAAGAGAUUCAACAACUGUUUUGUUUUUUUUUUUUAAUGCAAUUUACAUUAAAUCAGAAGUGAAUGAUGGCACCA
This is a long non-coding RNA of Cebus imitator (Panamanian white-faced capuchin), 421 nucleotides long. RefSeq lists it as uncharacterized. The record is from RefSeq and is a predicted model, not a curated record. The transcript has 2 exons. NCBI's taxonomy places the organism in Eukaryota, Metazoa, Chordata, Mammalia, Primates, Cebidae.